AGAGUUUGAUCAUGGCUCAGAACGAACGCUGGCGGCAGGCUUAACACAUGCAAGUCGAACGCACCGCAAGGUGAGUGGCAGACGGGUGAGUAACGCGUGGGAACCUUCCCUGUAGUACGGAAUAACCUCGGGAAACCAAGGCUAAUACCGUAUACCUCCUCCGGGAGAAAGAUUUAUCGCUACAGGAUGGGCCCGCGUUG
This 200-nucleotide ribosomal RNA is filed under the name uncultured bacterium. Its description in RNAcentral is "partial 16S ribosomal RNA". It matches the Rfam family "Bacterial small subunit ribosomal RNA", at positions 8 to 238 of the family's 1533-position model. The record is from RNAcentral.